RNAcentral lists this long non-coding RNA (844 nucleotides) under Prunus dulcis (almond). RNAcentral describes it as "sRNA ncRNA". Lineage: Eukaryota; Viridiplantae; Streptophyta; Magnoliopsida; Rosales; Rosaceae. The record is from RNAcentral.
CCCUACCCAGCUGAACUCCUCAGUCUAAGAUGAAGACAGUGUUGUAAGAAAAUGGGACUGUGUAACCCCUUUGUAAAAACAUCUGCUAUUUGUUCUUCAGUAGGUAUGUACUGCACAAUAAGAUCCUUUCUUUGUACCUUCUCUCUCACAAAGUGGAAGUCUAUAUCCAAAUGCUUAAUUCGAGAAUGGUAUACGGGGUUUGAGCUUAAAGCCAAUGCUGAUAAGUUGUCACAGUACAUAGUAGGAGCAUUUGGCAAAAACAUCUUUAGAUCCAAGAGAACCUGUCGAAUCCAUGACAAGUCAGCAGCUGUGUUUGCUAGGGCCCUGUAUUCUGCCUCUGUUGAACUCCUAGACACAGAACCUUGCUUCUUGGACUGCCAGGAGAUAGGAUUACAACCCAAGAAUACUACACAACCGGUUGUAGACCUUCUAGUAUUGAUAUCCCCUGCCCAGUCUGCAUCACUGUAUGCACUAAGCUGCCAAGGACCCUUUGUAAAACUGAUUCCAUACUCUAAUGUACCCUGAACAUAUCGAAGAAUACGCUUCACCAAAAAAUAGUGAACCUCAGUUGGAUUAUUCAUAUAUUGACACACAUGAUUCACAGCAUAAGCCAGAUCAGGUCGUGUAAAUGUUAGGUACUGUAGAGCACCUACGAGACUGCGAAACAUAGUAGGAUCAGCCAAGGGCUCACCGUCAGUCUGUAACACUUGAGUGUGUGGCUUACAAGGUGUUGCACAGGCUCUACAUGAACUCAUGCCUGCUUUAUGUAGUAGAUCCUUGGCAUACUUAGUUUGACUCACGAAUAUGUCACCAGAGGAAUUAUAGGAAAUCUGCAGACCUAAAA